CGGACGGGUGAGUAACGCGUGGGUAACCUGCCCUAUACAGGGGGAUAACAGUUAGAAAUGACUGCUAAUACCGCAUAAGCGCACAGGACCGCAUGGUUCGGUGUGAAAAACUGAGGUGGUAUAGGAUGGACCCGCGUCUGAUUAGCUUGUUGGUGAGGUAACGGCUCACCAAGGCGACGAUCAGUAGCCGGCCUGAGAGGGCGACCGGCCACAUUGGGACUGAGACACGGCCCAAACUCCUACGGGAGGCAGCAG
RNAcentral lists this ribosomal RNA (255 nucleotides) under uncultured bacterium. RNAcentral's name for it is "partial 16S ribosomal RNA". It matches the Rfam family "Bacterial small subunit ribosomal RNA", at positions 99 to 354 of the family's 1533-position model. The record is from RNAcentral.